UAGUCCACGCCGUAAACGAUGAUCACUCGAUGUACACGCUUGUCGUGUGCGUCUAAGCGAAAGCAUUAAGUGAUCCACCUGGGUAGUACGUGCGCAAGUUUGAAACUCAAAGGAAUUGACGGGGGCUUGAACAAUCGGUGGAGCAUGUUGUUUAAUGCGAUACGACGCGAGGAACCUUACCUGGGCUCGAACGCCUCUGCUACCCUGAGAAAUCAGGGGUUCCUUCGGGACAGAGUGCGAGGGCUGCAUGGCCACCAUCAGCCUGUGCUGUGAAGUGCAGGGUUAAAUCCCAUAACAGGCGCAACCCCUAUGCUUAGUUGCCAACACGUAACGGUGGGAACUCUAAGCAGACUGCCUGCGCAAGCAGUGAGGAAGGAGGGGAUGAGGUUAGGUCAUCAUGGCCUUUAUGCCCAGGGCUACAAACGUGCUACAAUGGCGUAUACAGAGAGAAGCUACCUGGCAACAGGAUGCCAAUCUUC
Molecule: ribosomal RNA, 479 nt
Filed under: uncultured bacterium
Lineage: Bacteria
Description: bacterial SSU rRNA
Rfam family: Bacterial small subunit ribosomal RNA
Source: RNAcentral